This 1970-nucleotide long non-coding RNA is filed under the name Hordeum vulgare. RNAcentral's name for it is "long non-coding RNA (HVUL_LNC003420)". Lineage: Eukaryota; Viridiplantae; Streptophyta; Magnoliopsida; Poales; Poaceae. The record is from RNAcentral.
GAAGGUGAGACGAGGAGGAGAGAGAAGGCGCCGUGGGACCCGGCUGUCUGUGUGAGUGGAGCCGCGAGCGUGGAUAAGUGAGAGACGCCUUCUGCGCUAUUCCGCUUUCCUCGCAGGAAAGCGCAUUCCUGCCAAAGGCGAUUUCACCAUCAGCCCAGCCGCCCUGCCGAGGGACCCGGAUGAGAAUAUUUUUAUUGCAGAUUAGUCCCUGGCAGAAAAUCAUCCAUAUCUUUUUAUCCGUGACUCCGAUUCGAGUGAUUCCCGCGGCCACGUCUUCGUCUCGCCAAGCCCAUCAAGCUGGUAUCAUUUCCACCCUGUGAUCUCACAGUAGAAAUGACCAUGUUGCCCUUGCCGUAAACAGCCCCUCCUCCGAGAGAGAACUGUUUCCGGCAAUUCCUUCCGCGAGUUUUUUGCGCUUCUUCUCGGUGGUUUCAUCAUCCCAGGCAAGACACAACUUUCAUUUGCUUCAUUGCAUUGCAAUAUCAUAGUAUCAUUAACUACUUUAAUAAUAAAUAUAUUUGUUGAUAGUCUGGUAUGUGAGCAUGCACUGUCUGAAUAGAUAACUGCAGUGUUGAGCACAAGACCGUUAGUAACUAAUACUUCCACCCACUAAUUUACUCUAUACUAUUGAUUUUACUGUCUAUGAUUACUUUGUGAACAUGGAUCAACAGUAGUGGCUAGAGCUUAUCGGAUUGCCAUGACAUUGGAGUGUUAGCUGUGACAGACCAUUCGGGAUAAGAUACCUAGUUGGUUAAUCAAAGUCACCUGUCCGGGCCCAUCCGCACAACCACAUUCUACCGGUAUGGGAUGGCCUUGACUUGAGUUGUACACGUGAUCGCUCUCACCGGUACCUCCAAAGAGGGAGGGUUAUGCACGCGCGCUACCUUGUCCCGGUAGGCGGUGAUAACCUUGCGAGCAAGUUGAGUUGUUUGGGGUACCCGUCCCCGUUUGGGACAGUUUUGUUUGGCCACGACGGUGGCAAGUGUCAUGAGGACACAGGGCCACCCAGGGCAGGACUCCGGAAGGGAGUGGUUGCCGGUGGUACGAUGAGAGGAUCACGGUUCAGGAAAGUUUCGUUGGAGCAAUGAUGGUCCACCCGAAUGGGAUCACGAGGUCAGUGUUCCAGAGUGUGGGUAAAGUGUGCAACCUCUGGAGAGUGUCAGAACUAUUCGAAUAGCCGUGUCCACGGUAACGGACAGCCCGACCAGGCCUCAUUAGAUGGUCAACCAUGUUGAUGUUAGUAAUGAUGGAAGAACUCGUCUGAGUAUGUAACAGAUGGGCAUCGUGCCAUUGUAACAGUUGGGCAUCGUGCCGGUGUCAUAGUGGGGCAUCGUGCCGGUGGUACAGUUGGGCAUCGUGCGGGUGAUAAGUCAUGGUAUCCAUCUUGAGGAUACUCGCUAAGGAUCUUGGUAAGAUCACAUGAGUUGGUAUCACCCGAGUUCGGUGAGAGUAGUCUGAUAUAGUUAGUUCUCUGUUAUUCCUUAAUAAUAACAACCCUUUAAUUAAUUUGGAUUACUAUAACAUUGUCUUGCCUUAAUGCUAAUGUUUGUUGUGAGCUUGCGAGUACAUUCAAAGUACUCACCUGGCUUGUCAUGCUAGUUUGCAGGUCAUGCUUGAUUGCUUGAUUGUCGAAGAUUCCGAGUUGCGAGCUAGGAUGCGCGGUCUAGCCAGAGUCCCUACGGAGUGGAGUUCAUCACCUCGGUAGUUGUUCCGCUUCUAGCGUAAGAUUUACCAUAGGCAGGUGUAGUAUCGCCACGACGAUGUAAUCUAUGUAUCCUUGUAAUCAUUUCCAUAGUAAUAAAGAGCUGAUUUGUUCUGUGCCAACGGUUCCGUAUUCCAGAAGACUGGUCCUUGGGCUGUAAUACGGGGCGUUCCGGUUUCCUCUGUGCUGGGGUGCCACAGCGACCUUGUCGACCUACGAGGUUUGUAGUAACUUGAUCCGAAGCUUAAUUAUCACUAUCAUCAGUUUC